AUUGAACGCUAGCGGGAUGCUUUACACAUGCAAGUCGAACGGCAGCGCGGACUUCGGUCUGGCGGCGAGUGGAGAACGGGUGAGUAAUGUAUCGGAACGUGCCCAGUAGCGGGGGAUAACUACGCGAAAGCGUAGCUAAUACCGCAUACGCCCUACGGGGGAAAGCAGGGGAUCGUAAGACCUUGCACUAUUGGAGCGGCCGAUAUCGGAUUAGCUAGUUGGUGAGGUAACGGCUCACCAAGGCGACGAUCCGUAGCUGGUUUGAGAGGACGACCAGCCACACUGGGAGUGAGACACGGCCCAGACUCCUACGGGAGGCAGCAGUGGGGAAUUUUGGACAAUGGGGGCAACCCUGAUCCAGCCAUCCCGCGUGUGCGAUGAAGGCCUUCGGGUUGUAAAGCACUUUUGGCAGGAAAGAAACGUCGCGGGCUAAUACCCCGUGGAACUGACGGUACCUGCAGAAUAAGCACCGGCUAACUACGUG
RNAcentral lists this ribosomal RNA (484 nucleotides) under uncultured bacterium. RNAcentral's name for it is "partial 16S ribosomal RNA". It matches the Rfam family "Bacterial small subunit ribosomal RNA", at positions 30 to 507 of the family's 1533-position model. The record is from RNAcentral.